Molecule: long non-coding RNA, 613 nt
Filed under: Cricetulus griseus (Chinese hamster)
Lineage: Eukaryota; Metazoa; Chordata; Mammalia; Rodentia; Cricetidae
Description: lncRNA (ENSCGRG00000024670.1)
Source: RNAcentral
AUGUGUUUGCGCAAGGCUGAGAAACGGUUUUUAUCCCAUCUGGGUUUAAGCGAGUUGGCACGGGGGAAUGACUGUACUAACCGGCUGAAUCUCUUUCAGUGGCGGCGGCAGCAGCAGCAGCAGCAGCAGCAGCAGGAGCAGCCCCACAGCCACCGCCACAGCGCCCUGGCUCCUAAGCCCCCUGUGGGCUGAAGGCAUUGCAGGCAGCCCAUGGUCCUUGAGGAAGAGUGCAGAUGGGAUUACCGUCCACAUGGAGAUACGGAAGAGGACCAGGGAUUGGCACCGUGACCAUGGUCAGCUGGGGGCACUUCAUCUGCCUGGUCUUGGUCACCAUGGCAACCUUGUCCCUGGCCCGGCCCUCCUUCAGUUUAGUUGAGGAUACAACAUUAGAACCAGAAGAUGCCAUCUCAUCUGGAGAUGACGAGGACGACACAGAUAGCUCCGAAGACUUUGUCAGUGAGAACAGGAACAACCAGAGUAAGUAACCUGCCUCUGAAGGUCUCCGAGAGAGGAGUGACGAGGGGAAGUCCCGCCUUCUGUCGAGUCCUCACCUGUCUUCUGUUGACUCCUCCAAACCACCGUGCUGUGUCCCUUGACCCUCACUGCCCCCCCC